UACGUAGGGUGCAAGCGUUGUCCGGAAUUAUUGGGCGUAAAGAGCGUGUAGGCGGCCACUUAAGUCCUGCGUGAAAUCUUGCGGCUCAACCGCAAGCGGUCGUGGGAAACUGGGUGGCUAGAGUGCGGGAGAGGAGAGUGGAAUUCCUGGUGUAGCGGUGGAAUGCGCAGAUAUCAGGAAGAACACCCGUGGCGAAGGCGGCUCUCUGGAACGCAACUGACGCUGAGACGCGAAAGCGUGGGGAGCAAACAGG
Molecule: ribosomal RNA, 253 nt
Filed under: uncultured bacterium
Lineage: Bacteria
Description: partial 16S ribosomal RNA
Rfam family: Bacterial small subunit ribosomal RNA
Source: RNAcentral